GUUUGGGGGCGGGGAUCCACCUCGGUUAUAAGUCUUGCUGAAAAUGUAAAUCCAACUUUGGUAUAUGAUGUAAGAAACCGAAUCGUUUUAUAUAUCCUCAGUCGAAAAUCGAUUUGUUUUGUUUGGUUAAUUUUAAAGUUGCGCAAAGUUUGUGUUGAGGCUGGCAUGACUGGCCUAUUGGGUUUCUUCUCUUUUUAAAACAUUUCAUAUCUUGCAAUCUGCCUGUAAUGUUGUGGAGAUACCUAUUUUUCGCCGUUCUCCUGAUAGCUGUUCAGUUAAUGGCAGCUGAAGGUUCAAGCAGACACGGUGUGGACAAAAAACAUGCACCAUUGAAAGACCCAUCGUCGAACGAAACGGAAGUUUUGAACCACGGAAAACCGAAAAGCCUGUUUGCCAGGAGAGCGCACCAACGUCUUCAGAGGCCCGUGGCUCUGCAGCACGCUGCGGUAGAUAACAUCUGGCAUGCUAAGUAACUCCAUUUUUUUCCCACCGAAACCCGAGAUGAGGACCACAGCUCAGUGCAACACGACUGCAUUCCUCCAGCAAUUACAGAAAGGGCUUGCGUGAGGCAAUCUGAUGAAAUCACAGAUUCUAUAGACCCCCCAGAAGAAGCCUAGGGAGCCGAAACAGCCUUCACCCCCUUCGGACCCCCCAGCCCGGCGCUGCCCCAGGCUGAUG
Molecule: long non-coding RNA, 678 nt
Organism: Anguilla rostrata (American eel)
Lineage: Eukaryota; Metazoa; Chordata; Actinopteri; Anguilliformes; Anguillidae
Exons: 3
Source: RefSeq, a predicted model, not a curated record